CCUACGGGUGGCUGCAGUCGAGAAUCUUCGGCAAUGGGCGCAAGCCUGACCGAGCGACGCCGCGUGGAGGAUGAAGGCCUUCGGGUUGUAAACUCCUGUCGAGGGGAGGGCUGAUCCCUGGAGGAAGCACGGGCUAAGUUCGUGCCAGCAGCCGCGGUAAGACGAACCGUGCGAACGUUAUUCGGAAUCACUGGGCUUAAAGCGCGUGUAGGCGGGACGGCACGUCUUCGCUGAAAUCCCCCGGCUUAACCGGGGAACUGGCGUAGAUACGACCGUCCUUGAGGGGCGUAGGGGGAUCUGGAACUUCCGGUGGAGCGGUGAAAUGCGUUGAGAUCGGAAGGAACGCCCGUGGCGAAAGCGAGGUCCUGGACGCUCUGACGCUGAGACGCGAAAGCCAGGGGAGCGAACGGGAUUAGAUACCCUUGUAGUC
Molecule: ribosomal RNA, 430 nt
Filed under: uncultured bacterium
Lineage: Bacteria
Description: partial 16S ribosomal RNA
Rfam family: Bacterial small subunit ribosomal RNA
Source: RNAcentral